UGCGCAGAUAUCGGGAGGAACACCGGUGGCGAAAGCGGCACCCUGGGGUGCACCUGACGCUGAGAGACGACAGCUAGGGGAGCGAACAGGAUUAGAGACCCUGGUAGUCCUAGCCGUAAACGAUGGAUGCUAGGUGUGGGAGUGAAGAACUUCUGUGCCGCAGCGUACGCGAUAAGCAUCCCGCCUGGGGAGUACGGCCGCAAGGUUAAAACUCAAACGAAUUGACGGGGACCCGCACAAGCAGCGGAGCGUGUGGUUUAAUUCGAUGCUACACGAAGAACCUUACCUGGGAUUGACAUAUGGGUGGUAGUGAGCCGAAAGGCAAGCGACCCUUCGGGGAGCCUAUACAGGUGCUGCAUGGCUGUCGUCAGCUCGUGCCGUGAGCUGUCGGGUUAAGUCCCGUAACGAGCGCAACCCCUGUCCUUAGUUACAAGUGUCUAAGGGGACUGCCGGCGGGAAGCCGGAGGAAGGUGGGGAUGACGUCAAGUCAGCAUGGCCCUUAUAUCCAGGGCGACACACACGCUACAAUGGUCGGUACAGAGGGCAGCGAAGCCGCGAGGUGGAGCGAAACCCAGAAAGCCGGUCGUAGUUCGGAUUGCAGGCUGCAACUCGCCUGCAUGAAGUUGGAGUUGCUAGUAACCGCAGGUCAGCCAUACUGCGGUGAUACGUUCCCGGGUCUUGUACACACCGCCCGUCACGUCAUGGGAG
RNAcentral lists this ribosomal RNA (708 nucleotides) under uncultured organism. Its description in RNAcentral is "bacterial SSU rRNA". It matches the Rfam family "Bacterial small subunit ribosomal RNA", at positions 687 to 1410 of the family's 1533-position model. The record is from RNAcentral.